CUCGGGUUGGGAGAUCCUGGUUGGCCUGGAGGGAAGAAGAUCAGAGGGAGGCCUGAAAAAGGACAUCAAAGAGACCACCUCACACAGGGUAGACUUCUCACACAAAGUCAGAAGGCAGAUGCGACACUCCAGCCUUACUCUCAAAGCCUCAAACCACCAUGUCCUUGAGGGACACGCUCAGAAGCCUGCCCGGGAGCCUGCCCUGUUAAACCUAAUGGCCACCUGGACAAUACCACUGACUGCCCAGCUCUCACACGGCAGAGCAUGAGCCCUCAGACCAGACAGCAGCCUUACCUCUCCUUUUGUGUGAUCUUCAGUUUUUUUUCCAACCGUCUGUCUAUUUCCUAGAGGAAAAAAAUGUAUAUAAAAAGUGGAAAAAAAUC
This is a long non-coding RNA of Neofelis nebulosa (Clouded leopard), 383 nucleotides long. RefSeq lists it as uncharacterized. The transcript has 2 exons. NCBI's taxonomy places the organism in Eukaryota, Metazoa, Chordata, Mammalia, Carnivora, Felidae. The record is from RefSeq and is a predicted model, not a curated record.